UGAUUCAGAGUUCCAUUAACUCUCAGAUCUAGGUCACUUAGUACCUUUGCUAUUGUAAAAGUAAAUGAAACUGAUGUUUUGAUCAAAUCUGGACUUCUACCCUUUAAAGCAUACAAGAUAAACAAAAGUCCUUAAUCUCAAGGCAUAGAAAAGAACUUAAUGUGGACUUAACCCAUCCACGACAAUCAUUUGAUAAUGAGAAGUCAGAAUAACUUAG
Molecule: long non-coding RNA, 217 nt
Filed under: Malus domestica (apple)
Lineage: Eukaryota; Viridiplantae; Streptophyta; Magnoliopsida; Rosales; Rosaceae
Description: long non-coding RNA (MDOM_LNC006703)
Source: RNAcentral